Molecule: long non-coding RNA, 1655 nt
Organism: Anas platyrhynchos (mallard)
Lineage: Eukaryota; Metazoa; Chordata; Aves; Anseriformes; Anatidae
Source: RefSeq, a predicted model, not a curated record
UGUGUACAAAAAUAGCUGUGGAUAAUACACACCCCUUGAAACAUCCUGGCUUAUGAAAACCAUGCUGUAUCGACCCUCAGACAGAUCAUAGGAGGAAGACAUCGGGCUGGCUAGUAAGAGGACCUGGGGAGAAGGAAUGGGCUCUAAGCCCCCAGGCAGGACUCUGAGGGAGAGCAGUUUCUCAGAGAUUUGGCCUCGCAGGGCCUCUGCAAGCCGUGAGUGGUUGGAGGGAACUUGGAUAGUUGCUUAACAUUUUGUCAGCUGGUGGCCGGCCCUGCUCAGCAGCAAUGAGAACCAGCAGUGGUGGUGGUGGUGGAACCACCAGCUGGCAGUCAUUGAAUAAGGGCCUGACUCAUGGACCUCCACAGCCAUGUCCUUGGUGAGCAGCAGCCUGCCCCACAAGGUUGGGAGCCAUCCCAAAGGAAGCUGGCCUGAAAGAGCCCUCAGCAGGACCUUGACUCGUCUCUGCACUUCUGCAGACAGGUGGAAGGAGCUUUCCAAGUGCAACAACUAUCCCAGGAAGAGGUGUCUACUGGAAACACAUCUUGUGCAUGUGGAGAGAAAUGGCUUGGCCUUUGCACACAGCAUCCAUAUUUCUGCCUGGCGGGUGACUGCUGCAUUACAAGUGGAAAAUAUCUGAAGCAGCUUAACAAAUGACUGCUAAGAGACCUUCUGAGGAGGACUGGACCUUUACGAAGCUGCCUUUUGCAAAAAUAUGAUGAAAACAAUUUAUAUCUACUUUUAUAGUAUGUAUGUAUAGCUGUGCUUUAAGGGCUUCAAAAUGAUACACAAAGUUUUCAUCCUGAGUGCAUUUGUAAUCAAAAGCCUAUAGCAUACAUGUACAUUUAUUUGGAAAAGUUAUACUAGAAUAAUUGUUACUGUGGCUGACAGAUGAUGCUAGCGUAGGUCAGUUUUUUCCAUACAUUUGCUCUCAUUUUGUUCAUUUUGUUUGUUUGUUUCUUUCUUUCUUUCUUUGGCCUUCUUCUCUUACCCCACCAUUAUUCUUAGGCCAACAUGCAAUGUUUCUCAGUGCUACCAUUGCUCACACUUUUGCUUCCCUUUUACAACAAUUUUUGGUACUCCCAACAUGUGUCAUGCUCCUGGAAUAUCUGUUCCAGCGGGAGUCUGAAGAAAUUAUGUUUCAAAAAAUGUGUUUCAAACCACCAGGUGACCCAGAUAUUUCAAGUUUAAGCAAAACCUUUCAGGUCAAAGAUGACCAUUGCAUAUCUCUCUGGUGCAUUUAGAAUCUCUCCAACACAAAGGGUUUCUCUCUUCCAGAUUGUGAGUUUCUGGCUUUGUCUUGCAAGCCUGUGGAGUUGGCAUAUGUGCACACUUUGCUUACUAGUGCCCCAUAUUUGUGCCACAGUUGGAGCUUAGAUCCUGUGACUUGGCAGAGAGAAGUGCCAUGUGGUGUUCUAAAGAAGGGGGAGAGGAUCUCACCCUCACCCCAAAACAGGCCCCAGACAGACAGCAAACCAAACUCCAUUCAGUACUAGAAAAGGGGAAUACCAAGGUGACGAAGGUGAAGCCAUGUGCAUUCUUGGUAUGUUUGGCUCAUGCUUGACUCCAUGUUUAUCUCUUUUUAUAGUGUUACUUAUCAUCACCCUUGAUUUUUGUUUGAUGAAUAUUCAUUAAACACAGUUUUCAGAAUACAA